Molecule: long non-coding RNA, 1500 nt
Organism: Betta splendens (Siamese fighting fish)
Lineage: Eukaryota; Metazoa; Chordata; Actinopteri; Anabantiformes; Osphronemidae
Exons: 3
Source: RefSeq, a predicted model, not a curated record
CAUCUGGACUCGCAGCGGUUGAGACGAUCGUCCCAGAGAUGAUUCCACUGAUGCAUCAACAGCCAAUCGGCUCUGAUUGAAUCUCAUAUCCUUCGUCUCACGCGGUCCGACAGCAUCGUCUGCGGAGCCUCUGCACUUCAGCAAACACAGGACGAGAGACGGCUCAGACAGCGCUCCCAUGCGUUUGGACAGGAAGCUGGUGCGUCCAACGGUAACAGAUCACAAAAGAUCACAAAUGAUCACAACAUCCAGCCUCACCUCCGUCAGACCAUGAACAGGAAGCCACUCAGCCACAUGUGCACAAAGACUUGACUCAGAUAAUGUUUGUCUUUGCUGCCAGCAAAGACCACACACAAUGAGGAAGAACCACGGUGACGCAGAGGAGACGACUGGACCUCCUUCACCCGCUGCUGUUUCUGAGUUACUGGUUCCGUAGAGGUCCAUCUUUUAGCAGUUUGCAUUUCGUCUGCUUGCAUCAGUCAAUAAUUGGCUCCUAAUAGAGAGCGAGUGAAGAUCCUGCAUCACUGGCGGAUCAUUAGAGGCGCUGGUUCUGUACUGAGCACAGAACCUGCCACCUGUACUGAGCAUCAUCAGGGGAAGCGUCUUCAGCCUCAUUGCUGCCGCCGUGUUCAGUGCGUCUCUGCCCAUCGGCCUCGACAUCCUGCUCGCACUCACUCACUGAUAUCACAACACGAGAGAGAAGCUGAGGAGAAAGGAGGAGGGAGCAGACGCGUCCCUCCACGCUCGCACGGACACAGAACAAAGGGGGAAAAAAGAAACCCAGAACUCAGGAAGUUCAUCCAAAGGCCACAAUGAAAGAAAUGUACAAGGAGAGUUGGUUCGAAAGGAUCAAGUGGCUGCUUCUGUGUCUCUAUCUAUGGACGCUGCUCAAACAACCUGUUACAGAGACGUGAAGCGUGCAUAGAAAGAUCAAAGGGCCCUUGGCUACAACGUAACUCUUAGAGGGUUGAAACCUACGGAGCAUCGGUCCGAACGAGAGCCAAACCAAAGGUUAUUGACGGGCGCCAGAGGAAGAUGAUGACAUCACCUCCAACCAAUGGCACGGCAGAUGCCGCACAGAGAGGACGUGGGGAUGGAGACGGGAGAGGAUGGAGAGCAGCACUUUUAAUUUGUGUUUUGCUGAACUCAGCGGCUCCUGUCACUGAGCUACGAGGUGGAGAAAAGGAACGGUGAUGAACGAGUGAAUAAAAAGAGGGAGAGAAAGAAAAAACAAGAUGAGACGGGGGAGAGAGAAUGAGAGAUUGAACACUACAUAAAGGAGGUGCAAUGAAAUAAAAGAUUAUUUUAUGGCUCCAGGCUGCACAUUGGUUGAUGGGCUGUUAGCGGCGAGCAGUUAACAGAUUGGACGGGAAGAAAGAAUCUAUGGGAAACGAGAGACGGAGGAGGAGCGAGCCUCCAUCAUGUCUGGUAAACGUGGAGGAAUGAUGGCACACGAACGCUUAUUGAUUGUUUGUGUGUGGUCAGUUUGCAGCAUAUUCU